This 449-nucleotide ribosomal RNA is filed under the name uncultured bacterium. RNAcentral's name for it is "bacterial SSU rRNA". It matches the Rfam family "Bacterial small subunit ribosomal RNA", at positions 328 to 793 of the family's 1533-position model. The record is from RNAcentral.
GACCCAGACUCCUCGGGAGGCAGCAGUAGGGAAUAUUGCUCAAUGGGGGAAACCCUGAAGCAGCAACGCCGCGUGCAGGAUGAAGGCCUUCGGGUUGUAAACUGCUUUUAUAAGCGAGAAAUAUGAUGGUAACUUAUGAAUAAGGAUCGGCUAACUACGUGCCAGCAGCCGCGGUCAUACGUAGGAUCCGAGCAUUAUCCGGAGUGACUGGGUGUAAAGAGUUGCGUAGGUGGCAUGAUAAGUAGCUAGUGAAAUCUGGUGGCUCAACCAUUCAGACUAUUAGCUAAACUGUUAAGCUCGAGACUGUUAGGGGUAACUGGAAUUUCUAGUGUAGGAGUGAAAUCCGUAGAUAUUAGAAGGAACACCGAUAGCGUAGGCAGGUUACUGGGACAGUUCUGACACUAAGGCACGAAAGCGUAGGGAGCAAACGGGAUUAGAUACCCGCGUAU